Long non-coding RNA from Gymnodraco acuticeps, 271 nucleotides. RefSeq lists it as uncharacterized. The transcript is spliced from 3 exons. The record is from RefSeq and is a predicted model, not a curated record. Lineage: Eukaryota; Metazoa; Chordata; Actinopteri; Perciformes; Bathydraconidae.
CUUCUUUGAGGCUCUGGGCCAGCACACCCCACGUUUCAUCCAACUGUUCAAGUCAAAAAAAGGAUCGGUGGGACAGAAACUGCAGAGCAUCAACUGGCCGACACCGGACGUGACUGAACAGCGCUCUGUUGUCCUCAAAGGCAUUCCGAUUGUUCUUGGCGACGACUCCAAGGAUUUCUUCAAGACAUGCUUUGAUACAACGAGAGAUGAGGCCCUAUCAUCCGUCACUGUUGGUGUGCUGACUGUUCUCAGCGAAGACAGUCCUCAGGAG